RNAcentral lists this ribosomal RNA (497 nucleotides) under uncultured bacterium. RNAcentral's name for it is "partial 16S ribosomal RNA". It matches the Rfam family "Bacterial small subunit ribosomal RNA", at positions 28 to 507 of the family's 1533-position model. The record is from RNAcentral.
GAUGAACGCUGGCGGCGUGCCUAAUACAUGCAAGUCGAGCGAACGGACGAGAAGCUUGCUUCUCUGAUGUUAGCGGCUGACGGGUUAGUAUCACGUUGAUAACCUACCUAUAAGACUGGGAUUACUUCGGGAAACCGUAGCUAAUACCGGAUAAUAUUUUGAACCGCAUGGUUCAAAAGUGAAAUACGGUCUUGCUGUCUCUUAUCGAUCGAUCCGCGCUGCAUUAUCUAGUUGGUAAGGUAACGGCAUACCAAGGCAACGUUGCAUAGCCGACCUGAGAGAGUGAUCGGCCACACUGGAACAGAGAAACGGUCAAGACACUUACGGGAGGCAGCAGUAGGGAAUCUUACGCAAUGGGCGAAAGCCUGACGGAGCAACGUCGCGUGAGUGAUGAAGGUGUUAGGAUCGGAAAACGAUGUUAGUAGGGAAGAACAUAUGUGUAAGUAACGGAGAACAUCUUGACGGUACCUAAUCAGAAAGCCACGGCUAACUACGUG